CACAACUAAAGAUCCUGCACACCACAACAAAGAUCCUGUGUGCCGCAACUAAAGACCUGGUGGAGCCAAAUAAAUAAAUAUUAAAAAAAAAAUACUAGUAGAGAAAAAGGAGACUCCAGGAGCAUUUAACUAGAUGAUACAGCUUCUUCUACAUCAAAGGAAGGCCUGGCCUCUUGGUUAAAUCAUGUUUCCUUAAGUGCAUUUUGUACAUAUUAUUACUCUAAGAUGCUUCAUUAACAAACAAGAAUCUUUGUUCAGGUAAAUUUGUGAAGUACGAUAGCUGAUGACAUCUGGAACACACUUUGGACCACGCUGGGCGCGGUAGGCUGCAUAAUGCCCCCCACCAGCUAUGUCACAUCUUAAGUUUCGGGACCUGUGAAUAUUUUAUGGCAAAAGGACACUUUGCAGAUAUGAUUAUGUUAAGGAUCUUGAGAUAAGAGAUUAUUAUGGACCAUCUGGUGGGCCCUCAAUGCUAUCGUAAGUGUCCAUAUAAGAGGGAAGCAGAGGGGGAUCUGACCACACAGAGAAACAAGGCAAUGGAAGCAGAGACUUGAUGCUAAGCUGCUGCUGCUAAACAAAGAGGAGGAGCCAUGAGCCACAGAAUGCAGCUCUAGAGACUGGAAAAGGAGGGGAAAGAUUCUCUCCUAGAGCCUACAGAGGGAGCAUGCGCUGCCAACACCCUGGUUUUGGCCCAGUGAAACCAUUUUGGACUUCUGACCUCCAGAACUACAAGGUAAUAAAUGUGUUGUUUUAAAGUCCCCACAUUCGUGGUAAUUCGUUACAGCAGUCAUACGGAAUGAAUACAAUGAGUUAAGGUCUAGGAAUCGGGGAAGGAGAGCAGGAAGCGUAAGAGUUAAAGUCCCACAUAGCUGGAUUGGAACUCUACUCUUCAACUUACUGACUUGGCUGUGGUCCAGCCUUCUCCAAUUCUCAGCUUCUUCACCUGAAAAUUGGGGCUAACGACUUCCUCAUGUUUAGUGUGAGUAUUCAAUGAGAAGGGAAGUAGCAGAUGGAUCGCAGGGAGUAUUCAAAUGUUGGUUCCCUUUCCCUGGCUGUUUUCUGUUCAGAGGAACUGCCAGAAACUUGUCUUCUCCCAGGCGGCUCCUACUGUGGAAGUCACACAAGGACCCAGGGUGACCCCCGAAGACCCAGGACAGCAGCACUCCUGGUUUUACACCACCAGCUUUCCUGGAUCUCCAGCUUAUGGAGAGCAGACUGUGGGCCUUCGCAGCCGCCAUAAUCACGGAAGAUAAGAGGGCAAGAUGAGGAUCACUGCAACAGUCUGAGAAGUCACCAUGAUCUGACAGCCCUUUAAGGACAGGCCCAGUUUAUCUGGGCUGGGAAGAACAUGGAGCCCAGAAGUCUGAAUGGGCCACUGAAAGUUCAUUACAGCAACAGAAGCCUGCCC
Aethalodelphis obliquidens (Pacific white-sided dolphin) is the source of this 1408-nucleotide long non-coding RNA. RefSeq lists it as uncharacterized. The record is from RefSeq and is a predicted model, not a curated record. The transcript is spliced from 3 exons. NCBI's taxonomy places the organism in Eukaryota, Metazoa, Chordata, Mammalia, Artiodactyla, Delphinidae.